CAGCCGCCGCGGUAAUACCGGCGGCCCGAGUGGCGGCCACUAUUAUUGGGCUUAAAGCGUCCGUAGCCGGGUUGGGAAGUCCUCCGGGAAAUCUGGCCGCUUAACGGUCAGAAUUCCGGGAGAUACUGCCAGCCUAGGGACCGGGAGAGGCCGAGGGUAUUCCCGGAGUAGGGGUGAAAUCCUAUAAUCCCGGGAGGACCACCUGUGGCGAAGGCGCUCGGCUGGAACGCGUCCGACGGUGAGGGACGAAGGCCAGGGGAGCAAACCGGAUUAGAUACCCGGGUAGUCCUGGCUGUAAACGAUGCGGACUUUGUGUCGGACAAGCUAUGAGCUUGUCCGGUGCCGGAGGGAAACCGUUAAGUCCGCCGCCUGGGGAGUACGGCCGCAAGGCUGAAACUUAAAGGAAUUGGCGGG
This 414-nucleotide ribosomal RNA is filed under the name uncultured microorganism. Its description in RNAcentral is "bacterial SSU rRNA". It matches the Rfam family "Archaeal small subunit ribosomal RNA", at positions 459 to 872 of the family's 1478-position model. The record is from RNAcentral.